Molecule: unclassified non-coding RNA, 311 nt
Filed under: Hevea brasiliensis (rubber tree)
Lineage: Eukaryota; Viridiplantae; Streptophyta; Magnoliopsida; Malpighiales; Euphorbiaceae
Source: RNAcentral
UUUUAUUACAAAUCACAAUGAACUAAACUGUAAAAAUAAAUUAUUUCCUUCUGUGACAUGAUGCUACAUGUAGUAGUGCUUUAAUUCUUAAUUUUUGGUCUAUUGGGUUUAAGUUAUUGGUUUAAAUAUGGACGGGGAACCUCAAUAGAUUUUGAAUGUCUAUUUAUGCUGUUCAUACUUAUGAUUUGUUUUUUAUUUUGCUUACAUUCUCGUGCUGAGUUUACAUGUUCCAUGAGACGUUUCAUUGAAGUGGUGCUCUUAGGUUUAUGAGCUUCUUCUUUGUCAUCCUUGAUAGCAUCCAUCUAACAAAG